Molecule: RNA transcript, 1763 nt
Organism: Dermacentor silvarum
Lineage: Eukaryota; Metazoa; Arthropoda; Arachnida; Ixodida; Ixodidae
Gene name: T-box protein 1
Exons: 5
Source: RefSeq, a predicted model, not a curated record
CGAUGCCUAUUGAAUUGGGUGCUAAGGCGCGGGAAAGACGAGGGCAGAAGAAACGUAAAACAUACGCGACGAGCCGUUAUCUUGGCAUGUCGAACCCCCGUGAACUCGUGGCUCGACGCAUCGCGUGCAUUUGUGUUCGCGUGUGUCCUGCGAAAUGAGAACCGCGAGGCCACGCGCCUUCCCAAAAAGAGCCAGUUCGCGAUAGAGGACGAAGAGAAAGCCAGAAAACCAGCCACGAAAACCUUGCAUUAAUACCCUCCGGUGCAUUAUUAGUUCCUGCAAAAAAAAAAAAAAAUUGUUUAAGCCCAACGCUUUUGCAGCGUGGUUUCGCGCCGGUCAUUCUCUCUGAUUUGAAAACGGGGGCCAGCAUGUUCCUCCCGAAUAUCGGGACCACCAAAGAAAACUCUGACACAAGUUUUUCGGCCUCCUGCGGUUCGAGGGGAAGGAGCAAAUCGUAGAAGAGAAAGACGAGGAAACGCCCAUUUGCAGCAGACAAAACGUCAUGCACCGGCCUUCCGGAGUGGUACACUUCCCGAGUACGCUAUAAAACGAGCCACUGCGCAGCAAACGGCAGCUACUGAACAGUCACAGAUCCACUGCAGUCGCGCUCGCUGCAACGCGCUUCGCCGCUUGUGCCUCGAGGAUGGCGUCGUCGGGUCGUUAUGCUGCCGCUGGACUCUGCAGGGAGGACGACGGCCACAUGAGCGCUUACAACGGCUACGCCAUGCUGCUGGGGGCCGAUUGCAAGCUGUCGUCGAGCAGCAGCAGCGACGACACCGGCAGCAGCAGCGGGGACGACGACGGCAGCAGUAGCAGCGACAGCAGCAGCGGUUCUAGCAGUGACAGCGGAAGCAGCGACCCGGUCGGAGCAGCGUCCCAGUCGGAGGACAUCGACAUCGAAGACGUGCCCACCGCCUCCAGCAUAAAGCCCCUGGACUCCAGCGUCGCAGCCGGCGCCGCCGCCAUAGCCAGAGAGCCGCAGAUGGGCAUCUAUAUUCAGCCGAACGUCGUGCGCCCGGCGGACCUUCCCAGUGACCACCCGGAUGAAGCUCACGACUGGAGCGAUUGGCCCAAGUUCCCUCUAAAUAAGAAUGCGGAUCAGCAGCGUCCGAUCGUGCCGAGUCUGCCGGCCAAGGUUCCCCACGUCGCACUCGUCAACAAGCACGAGUUCCUGCUGCCCAAGAUGGAACUGCUGAUCCACACACAGGGCAGGAUCAUGCAGCCAGCGCCUUCGUUUCGCCUUACCAACUUGGUGGACGACUUGCAGUACACGGCCUGGCUCAGCUUCACCGAUGCCACUGGGGGUGAAUGCGUUGGUCAGUACUCCCACCCGGAUUCACCGCAUCCCGGUUCAUCUUGGAACGGCCGGGUGCUGACGUUUUCUCGGCUGAAGCUCUUCUCCAAUGACUGCUUCACCACGAAACCACCUCCGGUUUGAACGAGCGCACACUUUGCACUAAAAUGCAAGACAGUACGGUUGUCAAGUACGCAGUGUGCGGCCGUUCAAAGCUGGCCCAGCGUCAUUUAGGGAAGCCAUCAACAAGACAUGACGGCGCAGGUGGUACAAGUUGCUACCGUGCUGUCCUAUCUCGUCUUUUGGUGCGUGCCGGCGAUGGCUUCCCCGAGUCGACUUCUUCCGAGCCUAGCAAGCAAGCAACACGUGGUCUUAUUAUCACUCUGAAGUGUAACAACAGUUACCGCAUCCAAGUGAACGUUGGCAUCGUGGACAACAGCGGACACAUCCUGAGCACAUCGGUCGUCCG